Molecule: transfer RNA, 75 nt
Filed under: Planctomycetota bacterium
Lineage: Bacteria; Pseudomonadati; Planctomycetota
Description: Planctomycetes bacterium (groundwater metagenome) tRNA-Arg
Rfam family: tRNA
About the family: Transfer RNA (tRNA) molecules are approximately 80 nucleotides in length. Their secondary structure includes four short double-helical elements and three loops (D, anti-codon, and T loops). Further hydrogen bonds mediate the characteristic L-shaped molecular structure. tRNAs have two regions of fundamental functional importance: the anti-codon, which is responsible for specific mRNA codon recognition, and the 3' end, to which the tRNAs corresponding amino acid is attached (by aminoacyl-tRNA synthetases). tRNAs cope with the degeneracy of the genetic code in two manners: having more than one tRNA (with a specific anti-codon) for a particular amino acid; and 'wobble' base-pairing, i.e. permitting non-standard base-pairing at the 3rd anti-codon position.
Source: RNAcentral
CUUGGAGUAGCUCAGGGGGAGAGCGGCCGGCUUCUACCCGGCAGGGCGCGGGUCCGAAUCCCGCCUCCAAGUCCA